UGUUUAUACAUACAUAUGUUCACUUGGGGCCUGACUAGUAACCUGUAACUAUGGAAACGGAGGCUGCCAGCACAGCUGCGAAGACACGGACACGGGCCCCAUGUGUGGCUGCCACCAGAAGUAUGCCCUCCACUCUGACGGUCGGACGUGCAUCGAGAAGGAUGAGGCUGCAAUUGAGCGCUCUCAGUUCAAUGCCACGUCAGUAGCUGAUGUGGACAAGCGGGUGAAACGGCGGCUACUCAUGGUUGGCUCCCCCAGAGGCUCCAGAGCACGGCUGCA
Molecule: non-coding RNA, 279 nt
Organism: Manis javanica (Malayan pangolin)
Lineage: Eukaryota; Metazoa; Chordata; Mammalia; Pholidota; Manidae
Source: RefSeq, a predicted model, not a curated record